RNAcentral lists this long non-coding RNA (3992 nucleotides) under Vitis vinifera (wine grape). Its description in RNAcentral is "long non-coding RNA (VVIN_LNC007969)". Lineage: Eukaryota; Viridiplantae; Streptophyta; Magnoliopsida; Vitales; Vitaceae. The record is from RNAcentral.
GGAGUAGCAAGGCCGGUCUCCAAUUCCCCGUUGGUCGUAUCGCCCGCUUCCUCAAAGCUGGCAAGUACGCCGAGCGCGUCGGCGCCGGCGCUCCGGUCUAUCUUGCAGCCGUCCUCGAGUAUCUUGCUGCCGAGGUAUGUUUGAUGUUUCUCUCUGAGAUUUCUCAGGCGGUUUCUUUGUUCGCUCGUAUGAACUCCUGUUUUGUGGCUGAAAAAACGGAGGAAGGAGAGAGACGAAUCUUUCAAUCUUUGUCGCGCAUCUUAGCUUUUUGACCUAGAUUUCUGGUUUUCUGUCAUUUUUCUGUAGUUUAUUGUAGCACUAUUAAGUUUUCUUGAUGAUGUCAAAGUGUUGAGGUGCUCAAUUCGAAUAAUUGGCUUACAGGUACUGGAAUUGGCUGGGAACGCAGCGAGAGACAACAAGAAAACCCGUAUUGUGCCUCGCCAUAUUCAACUGGCGGUGAGAAACGACGAAGAGCUCAGCAAAUUGCUCGGGUCGGUCACUAUUGCCAACGGCGGUGUGAUGCCCAACAUUCACAAUCUCUUGUUGCCCAAGAAAUCUAGUUCUUCCAAAGGCGGUGCAGCAGCUGAUGAUGAUAACUGAGCCAAUCGAUUCUCAUGAAGUACAAAACGAGAACAUAGGAGCAGUAGUUAGGAGUUCGCAUUUGAUUUUUAGUGUCUCUUUGGUUUUUUUUUUCCCCUUCUUUUUGGGAUUAGGGUUUCAUUCUUGCCUGUGUAGAUUGGUGAAAAUAGCUUAAGCUGAUGUACUACUUCAAUCAAUCAACGAAAGAAUCGGUAAUUUUCUUCCAAGUUUGGCAUCAAUUUGUUUGUGCUACUGUUAUUGCUAUUUGUCUGUGACUGGGAUGUUUGGUUUCCUAGAAAAUGUAAGGGGAUAAAAAAAAUCCCUCUGAUAAAGAAUGCCUAUGGACCAAUGUUCAUUAGAGUCCUGGUUAGGAUGGAAAAUUUUGAAGAAUCAGGAUUUUCCUGCUUUUAUUUUUCCUUUAGUGCGUGAAUUGUUGUUAUUCUAAAUCCCAUCUAUAAGGGAUCUGGUUGAAAUUCCAAUUCUAGUAAGCUAAGCUUCAAACAAUUCCGAAACCAAUACUGUUGACUUUAAAAAGCCAAAACAUUUACUUUCACAUGGAACAUGGCAGCAAUGGAAACGAUGGCCAUGCUGAAAUCUGUACCAGGCUACAUAGACGGGCACAAAAAAAUGGGGCUACACUGAAGCAGAUGCGGCUUGAGGGUGGUGCUGCUUCCUUUCUUCUCGAGCAACUGCGGCGGCUGACACAUAAUAAGCAACGGAAAACAGUGCAUGAAUGAAACACAGAACCCCUCCUAUGGACAGAAAAUGGGUGUGAAGUAUCGUGCAAGAUUUCUUCGAUUUUGAGUUUGCUGUUGUCCCUAUGAUCAGACACGAGAAUGCUACUGCUAAUAUAAUCCUGAAACAUUCAACAUCUAAAUGUAAGAAUGCCCAAGAAGAAAUCAUCUGCCUGAAAAAACCCACCCUGAAAACUUACCAUGCAAAAAUGAGGGAACCCAUUGCAAGCUUCUUGUUUGCUGUUGCUUCUUCUAGUUCUUUCUUGGACCUUAUGUAUAUGCAUCCACCAAGCAGGUUAGCAGUGACUUGCCCCAUUAUCAGAAAUAUUGAUGCAGCCAACCCCAGGUUGUAAGAUUUGUGGCUUGGGCUUCUGCACUCAAAUAUCCACAGCCUUGCAUGUGUCACCUGUUCAACAUCAGUUAAAAAACUCAUUAAUAGAAGCAUCCAAGCCCAUAGUUUUUGGUCUUUUCGAUACAGGGAAAAGCAUCAAAAUACCUUGUGCUGAGCCUUUUCAGCUUCAAUGGCAAGUAUCCCUGCUACUAUGUCCAAAACCAUGAUCAAGAUACACAGGAUUGGGCCCAGGUCUUUGUGUAGUUUCUCCAAUCUAGACAUUUUUUCAGAGUUGAAAAAGAGCUCUGAAGAGUAGAAAGGGACCAGCUAUGAGGAANNNNNNNNNNNNNNNNNNNNNNNNNNNNNNNNNNNNNNNNNNNNNNNNNNNNNNNNNNNNNNNNNNNNNNNNNNNNNNNNNNNNNNNNNNNNNNNNNNNNAUAAGCACCUUAGAAAGUGCUCUGAAGAGAAGAUAGGGAUAAGUUAAAGAGGAAUUUCUCUAUUUAUAAGCACAUAGAGGUUUAUAGUUUGCCUUUAUUCCACCAUUGUUUCUGCUUUGCUUUACAUGGGGGACAAGAAAAGCAGGGUAUCACCAGCCCUGCUUCACAUUCAGUCAUUCCUUUCUUCAUCUCCAUUUUCAUGAUUCCUCUGCUCACUUUCCUCAAUUCCAACUUACAGCAGUCCUCAUGCUUUGUCCGACCCUCUUCAUUUUCCUUUUAACUUUCUGUUUGGUUACUGAGAAAAUUGAGCCUCAUGUAAUAGAAUCAAAAUUUGAAACCAAGCCUUUGCAUUGUUUCAAGGGACGAGGAUUCAAUCCCAACCGCAAGACUUAUUUGUUUGUUUAUUUAUAAUUUCGAGACUGUUAUAAUCUUUUUAACUUCAUGAAAUUUAGUAAUCCUGUCCCUCAAAACAGACUCUUACAUCCUGGAUUGAAGGUGAAAGAAAGUUUACUACGUCCUAAAAAAAAAUGGCAAGAUUGGGGUGAAAAUGAUGGCAUUAGUCUUCAUAAAAGACGUGGUAACAGCAGCAGUAACGAAUCUGACUUUUCUUGUUACUGACGUGGCGGCCUACAUGUUCUGACCUGGCCUUUAGGUCACGUCAAAUUUGCUAUUUCCAGAAUGUUUUAUCGAGUAUCAUCCAUUCGGAUUCUGAAAUGGAUGUGGACGCAUCAAUUUAGUUUUUGCAAUAGCAUUGUCAUCUUUAUAAAAAUCAUCCACCUACACGUGUCGAGAAACCCCGUUUCUAGAAAGAGCUCGACACUUCUCAAAGCCAGUUCAAGAGUGCAUCAUACGUUCUCUCUCGCAUUUCUCCGUUUGGCCGUCUGUGAAUUGCAAAGAUGUCGGCGUAUCGGUGGAAGAGCUUCCAUGAGGACGAGGAUCGGCCGGAGAAGCCUCGCCGAUUUGGUGUGACGGAGAUGAGAGGCCCGCAUUAUACCCUCUUGACCCAGAACGUACUUCAGGUUUGUUUUUCUUUUUUUAAUCCAAGCUCUGUUUGGUUGCUGAGAAAAUAUGGGAAUGGAAAAGGUUAACAAGAAUGUCAUUUGAUUAGCUUAGUGUUGGUAUUUUUUUUGUUGGGGAGGUCGAGGAAACGUACUUCAGGUUUGUUUUCCUCUGGUUUGAUCCAAGCUCUGCUUGGUUGCUGAGAAAAUGUGGGAAUGGAAAAGAUUAACAAGAAUUUUAUUUGAUUAGCCUAGUGCUUUUAUUUGGGCAUUUAUUUUGUUAUUUGCUUGCUCCUUUUUCCUGAUCAAUUAUUUGGUGUGGUGUGUUUUUGUUUUGUUUGUUUUCUUUCCCUAAAGAUGCUACUGAUUAAUUUGUGAUCUCGUUGAGCUGGGAAUUCUCUCCUUGAUUAUGCCAAAGACCAGGAGCUGAAUCCUUACUCACCGGGUUUAGGAUAUUGUUAGGGUUAUGAGCGCUAUUGAGUUCGGUUUCCUUCUUAAUGACGAAAAAAAUGGAAGACAUGCUUUUGUCCUAAAAUUCAGUGUUUGUGGGUACUUCCAUAGAAUUAACAGUUUAUAUAAAAGGUCCUUCACAGUUGUGAUCCUGAGAGAACUUGGCAAUCGUUCCAUAUAAAGAUAUAGAUUAAUAUAGGUGGGAAUUGUAGAUAAUGUAGCGUAUUCCAUUCUUUUUUCAUAAUAAGGGGAAGUUUAAUACAGAGGUUAAAGGUAUAAAACUGGUUUAAAUCAUUUGGAAGACUAAUAUAUGAUUGGAUACUCUUUUUGCAUUUUGUUUUUAAUAACAGAAAAUAUUAAUAACUUCUAUAUAAAAUAGAAGAAUAAGAGGUUUACAUUGGAAAGGUAAUGGUUUUUAAAAAGCGUUUAUAAAAAUUAAGAUAGUAAAACAUUUUUAUUACCU